AUUAUGGGCCGCCCGCGCGCCCGUCCCGUCGCCUCCGCUGCCGCAGCCCCCUCGGCCUUGCUAUGUCGAGCUCACCCGUGAAGCGUCAGAGGAUGGAGUCCGCGCUGGACCAGCUCAAGCAGUUCACCACCGUGGUGGCCGACACGGGCGACUUCCACGCCAUCGACGAGUACAAGCCCCAGGAUGCUACCACCAACCCGUCCCUGAUCCUGGCCGCAGCACAGAUGCCCGCUUACCAGGAGCUGGUGGAGGAGGCCAUCGCCUAUGGCCGGCAGCUGGGCGGGUGAGUGCCUGGACUCGGGAGGGUCCCAGCUAGGCCCUCGUGCUGGUCUAGUUGGCCUUGCCUCCCUCCCUAACUGAAUUUUAGUUCUCAAACACCAUGAACUCAAGGGAAAACAAAACCCUAUCUUUUUGCCUAUUUUUGUUUAUUGAAGUGUAAUCUGCAUGAAGUAAUCUGCACCCGUGGUAAAUGAGCGGUUCAGAGAGUCUUGCCAAUGUGUGUACCCUGUAAACACCACCCCAGUCAAGAUGCAGAGCACUUGCAGACCCCCAGAGGCCCCUCCU
Molecule: small RNA, 564 nt
Filed under: Pongo abelii (Sumatran orangutan)
Lineage: Eukaryota; Metazoa; Chordata; Mammalia; Primates; Hominidae
Description: retained intron
Source: RNAcentral